CUUUCCGUGUGAGUGUGUUCUCUUAAUCUUCCCCUCUCCUCUUUCUGCUCCCCUUAUCUUGAGAUCUCCUUUGCCAAGGGAUGGGCCUUUUUGUGGAGCUGCCUUACAGAUCAAAGGUGUUGCUGCCUAAUCUCUCUCUCUCUCUCUCUCUCUCUCUUGAGUGUCCUUCCUACGGAGUGACCUCACCAGGACCACUUCAAGUGGGGAAACAGAUGCUGAGAAGCCUAAACUCUCAACCAUCUCCUUUCACUUGGAGAAGAAAGAUGGAUUGUUGAUUUGCAGAAAGCAGAUGAUGCAGAUAAAAAUGGACACUCACUCAAUUUAUCAAAGUGUUUAUUUAGUGAAGCCACAGAUACACGUCAUAAGAUGGUGAGUGUGCUGUGUUACAAGUCCAUCUCACCAAAGUGUGGGCAAACAUGAAUUCAACAUAGAUUUCUUCUCUGUGAAAUAAAUCAACAUUGACUGCAUUGUUGAUCGAUUGUGUUGACCCCCACAAAAUAUGAUUUGACCAUGGGUUCGAGAAUUGGACAUGUUUAUUAGGUGUUAGAAGCCCAGCCCAAAGUUGUGCAUGGAAGCUUGCUCAACCAAGUCAACCAAGCUUUACGAUCUGGGCGGAUGAGAAAGGACGGCUUCGAUGCGUUUGGGGAUUGUUCGAGGAGGAUGCAGUCGAUCAGUUAAACAGAUGCCGUUCGUUCGACAAAGCGACGGUUCAGAUUUGGGCACGUGGUAAGAAUAUUUAUUUAUAAUCCCAUAUCGGUAAUGAGGCGAUUGGUUCGCGUCUUCUUAUACCGCAGAGUUGGCGAUGAGGUUGUCUCUUCGGAGACAUCCGAUAAAAUUGGAACGAUACAGAGAAGAUUAGCAUGGCCCCUGCGCAAGGAUGACACGCACAAAUCGAGAAAUGGUCCAAAUUUUUUUUCGCUCUCGGCAUUCUUUCCUUGUUCGAUCGCGAUCGGGCUGCUCUUCUUAUGCUCUUUUGUUCUUUCUUGCUUCGUGUUCUUCUGCUCUCUCUGUCCCAAAAUCUUCAUCUUUUUCUCGUUCUUUUCCUUCUUAUUUCCUUGAUCAAGGCACAGUGAGGAAGAAAGCUGCUUCUUCGGAGUGCGGUCGUGUUCCUUGUCCUCGUUGGUCAGUCCAUGGACGCUGGUCAUCUUCCUCGCUCGCUGAUCCACACCAAUGCGGACGCCUCCGUAGAAUCAAAUCGCAUGAUGUGCUGCCCUUGGUCCGAAGCGCCGCUGCGAGGAAAAAGAUUGUCCGACAUCACCAACACGCUGAGUUCGGGGACGGCCGGAAUGAUGGGUGCCGAUGUCGAUCGAGGUAACUCGAAUGUGAUUUCUUGCCCGAUCUCCAAAGAUUGCAUCGUCCAGCUCACGAAGGUACCUUUGGAGAUUUUCUUUUUGGUCUCCCUUUUUCAUCUUUCUUUCCUUCUUCAUCUGCAUUUAGUGUUUGUUUCUAAAAAAGAUUUUUGAAAAUGCUCUUUUCUUUACAUGAUCAAUAUGAAUUCCAGGAAAAUACUGCCUUGUUGAAGCUUCUUGCAGAAAAGAAGUAUGUAAAUUGUAAAAGACAAAAUUACUUCUUGACUGAGAGAUAGUCCGUCGAAAUUCAUGGACCAGCGAUCGAUUGAUAUGGUUUGAUCCGUUGUUUGUUUUGGCAGCAAAAUCAUAGAACUGAGUAGCACUGAGUCGCAAAAACUCCAAUUUGAAUUGCAGAAAACCAGUCAACAAAACUGGCAAUUGGCCCGGGCUAACUCACACAUGCUAGGGGUUGAUUCCUUGUCCAUUUUCUUUAUUGUUUCAGUUUGCAAAAAAGAUGCAUUCUUUAUCUGUUUCGUCUUUUGCUUCGCAGGAGCUCAACUUAGGGAAAGAUAGAGUAUGUUUUCUUGCCUUAUGGUUUGGCUCAUUGUGAUUUUCGUUUGCUAUAAUAGGCGAUUUAAUUUGAUUUACUUUGUGUCAAUCGAUUGAAGUUGCAUGUCAAGUUAUUUUGAUUGAUAAUAUUUAUUUGUUUAUUUCAUGUUGCAGCUAAAAGUAUUAACGACAUGAGCUUGGUUGUACCUUAUCAAUCCUUAAACUAAAGACUUCAGAAUUAGAGGUAAGGAGGAUUAUUAUAGUUUCAUAAUUUGUUUUCUCCUCUCUUAAUCUCUAUGGUGAUAUAUAUUUUUUCUUUACUCUAACUUAGGAGAAAGAAAAAUUGAUCAAAGAUCUCCUUAACAAAAUUGGCUCAGAGGUAUCCGAUGGCUUGUUUUGUUUACAUUCAGGCUGCCCUUUUUUUGCUCAUACUGUUAUUUUUCUUUCUACAAAUUGCAAAAGGUAGGAACCACCAAGUGUGAGGAGGUUGAAGCAAAUGCAACUCAACUUGCUAAUGACAAGAAAAUCUGCAAUCCCAAUAAGAAGCGCAAGUUAAAACCACAGUCUUUAGGCCCUACCACUUUGGUUCAUCAAGUGGCAUCAGAGGGAAAGGUUGAUGGUAGAAGAAGGAGGUUCUUACGAACAAAAUCCAGUGGCUUGAAGUCUGAAUCAUGUGAAUUUGUGAAUGACUUGCUCAAAAGAGAUGAUGGCGGAUCUCCAGUGACCCAUCAAGUGGGCCUAGAUGAAAAGAAGUUCGUUCCGAACAAGAUCCUGUAGUUUGAAAUCUGAAUCACAUGAAUCUAUGGAGUUGCACAAGAUUGAUGAUGCCAUACUUCCAGUGACUUGUCUGGUGCCAUCAGAGGAAAAGAUUGAUGGAAGAAGAAAAUCCUUGCGGAGGAGAUCCGAUUAUUUAAAGUCUGAAUCAUGUGAGCCUACUGAGAACUCAGUCAAGAUGGAGGAUGCCAAGUUUUUAGUUUAUACGAUCAAGAAUGAACGAGUAAGCUAUUGCUCAUGGAGAUUGUUAUACUUCUUCCAUAUCAAAUAUUUCUGUUGAACGAGUAAAGAAUGAGAAGCAUAAUUCAAUUGGGUCUUCAGAACUCGGGAAUCGGGAGUGCCAAAGAAGAUCCUCUGUUGGAAGGCCAUUGCGGAAGGCGGCUGAGAAGGUCGGUUCUUACAAAGAAAUGAAUCUGAAUGUAAAAAUGUGAAGAUCAGAGUACGAUUCUGGGUUAUCUGCUUACAUCACUAAAAUUUCAGAUGGUGCUAGCUGAGAGCUGCUGAUAUUCUUGGAUCCGUUUAAUAUAUCUGCUAGAUGAGAGCUGGACAUGCCAAUGUUUUCUAUGUUCUUGAUAUUUUGUGAUGACAUGGUGAAAUGUAUUACUGUAUUGUAAGAUUAAUUAGUAGGAACCCAUAGCUUAUUUUUGCAGCUUCUUUCCUUCCUUUUAGUUUGCCCUGCACAAAACAGGGAUAUUUUGAGACAAAAUAGUAGUAGCAUUAUAUGUUGUAUGAUUUGCUACGAUUGAAAUUUAUACUCGUCUCAAGGAAAAAAUGGUGCUUUGUUUUUUCUUGUUUA
Molecule: long non-coding RNA, 3408 nt
Organism: Musa acuminata AAA Group (dessert banana)
Lineage: Eukaryota; Viridiplantae; Streptophyta; Magnoliopsida; Zingiberales; Musaceae
Exons: 6
Source: RefSeq, a predicted model, not a curated record